Molecule: transfer RNA, 76 nt
Filed under: Hyphomicrobiales bacterium
Lineage: Bacteria; Pseudomonadati; Pseudomonadota; Alphaproteobacteria; Hyphomicrobiales
Description: Rhizobiales bacterium (sediment metagenome) tRNA-Lys
Rfam family: tRNA
About the family: Transfer RNA (tRNA) molecules are approximately 80 nucleotides in length. Their secondary structure includes four short double-helical elements and three loops (D, anti-codon, and T loops).
Source: RNAcentral
GCACGACUAGCUCAACCGGCAGAGCGCCGUCCUCUUAAGUCGGAGGUUCGCGGUUCAAGUCCGCGGUCGUGCUCCA